GGCGGACGGGUGAGUAACGCGUAGGAAUCUGCCCAAUAGUGGGGGACAACCCGGAGAAAUCCGGGCUAAUACCGCAUACGCCCUACGGGGGAAAGGAGGGGAUCUCUUCGGAGACCUUUCGCUAUUGGAUGAGCCUGCGUCGGAUUAGCUUGUUGGUAGGGUAACGGCCUACCAAGGCGACGAUCCGUAGCUGGUCUGAGAGGACGAUCAGCCACACUGGGACUGAGACACGGCCCAG
RNAcentral lists this ribosomal RNA (238 nucleotides) under uncultured bacterium. RNAcentral's name for it is "partial 16S ribosomal RNA". It matches the Rfam family "Bacterial small subunit ribosomal RNA", at positions 97 to 334 of the family's 1533-position model. The record is from RNAcentral.